This 544-nucleotide ribosomal RNA is filed under the name uncultured bacterium. RNAcentral's name for it is "partial 16S ribosomal RNA". It matches the Rfam family "Bacterial small subunit ribosomal RNA", at positions 355 to 885 of the family's 1533-position model. The record is from RNAcentral.
UGGGGAAUAUUGCACAAUGGGCGCAAGCCUGAUGCAGCCGUGCCGCGUGUGUGAAGAAGGCCUUCGGGUUGUAAAGCACUUUCAGCGAGGAGGAAGGUGGUGAGCUUAAUACGCUCAUCAAUUGACGUUACUCGCAGAAGAAGCACCGGCUAACUCCGUGCCAGCAGCCGCGGUAAUACGGAGGGUGCAAGCGUUAAUCGGAAUUACUGGGCGUAAAGCGCACGCAGGCGGUUUGUUAAGUCAGAUGUGAAAUCCCCGGGCUCAACCUGGGAACUGCAUUUGAAACUGGCAAGCUAGAGUCUCGUAGAGGGGGGUAGAAUUCCAGGUGUAGCGGUGAAAUGCGUAGAGAUCUGGAGGAAUACCGGUGGCGAAGGCGGCCCCCCUGGACGAAGACUGACGCUCAGGUGCGAAAGCGUGGGGCAGCAAACAGGAUUAGAUACCCUGGUAGUCCAGCGCUGUAAAACGAUGUCGAUUUGGAGGUUGUGCCCUUGAGGCGUGGCUUCCGGAGCUAACGCGUUAAAGUCGACCGCCUGGGGGAGUACGG